This 548-nucleotide long non-coding RNA is filed under the name Homo sapiens (human). RNAcentral's name for it is "HSALNT0267451". Lineage: Eukaryota; Metazoa; Chordata; Mammalia; Primates; Hominidae. The record is from RNAcentral.
UCAGAACUAUGGAAAGAACCAUGUGUGGAGUUUGGCACCACAGAUAUUCUCUGAGUGAUUGAAGUCUCUUCUACCAUGGUGGCCAUAUUGACAAGAUCUGCAAUGGUAUCAAAAGAGGUCAAGCUAAUAACCUGAGGAAACAGGAAGAAAACUCCAAUUGUCUUAUACAGAAGGUCUACAAUCAAUAGGAUGAAGUCUAACACUGGCGAGAGUGGGGUGGAGGUACCCCAGGCCUAUGUGACUAGCCCCCAGUAGAAACCCUAGAGACCAAAGCUCAGGGGCCUUGAAAGCUCCAUGAUAGAGAUGACAGAGCUAUAAGAUGAAAGCAGCCCAAAUCCCUGAGUCACCAAUGUUUGAAGAAGAGCUUCCCAGGAGAGGUACCAGACCCACAUGAGACUUCACAUGAUUAUAAAAUGAACUUCUAUUGUGUUGAAUCUCUGAACUUCAGGGUUGUUUUGCAGCACAGACUACAUUAUAGUGACAAGUAGAGGAAGGUACAGGCAUGCUAAUUUCAUUUUAAAAUUAAUCAAGGAUUGUCAAUGGAAAAU